RNAcentral lists this non-coding RNA (45 nucleotides) under Schistosoma margrebowiei. The record is from RNAcentral. Lineage: Eukaryota; Metazoa; Platyhelminthes; Trematoda; Strigeidida; Schistosomatidae.
AUCCGGCUGACGAGUCCCAAAUGGGACAAAACGGUCGUCACGGAU